This 1101-nucleotide ribosomal RNA is filed under the name uncultured bacterium. RNAcentral's name for it is "bacterial SSU rRNA". It matches the Rfam family "Bacterial small subunit ribosomal RNA", at positions 405 to 1533 of the family's 1533-position model. The record is from RNAcentral.
GAGACACAUGGCAAUUCGCCAAUGGAACCAUAGCCAGAUCGUGAGGAAAGUUUCGGAUGAAUCCGUCUAAGGACGAUAUGACGUACUAGAGGAGCUCCGCUACUACGUGCCAGCAGCGCGGUAAUACGUAGGAGCGAGCGUGUCGAUACUGGGUGUAAAGGAGCGUAGCGGACUGCAGUCAGAUGUGAAUGCCGGGCUACCCCGAGCUGCAUUUGAAACUGUGUCUGAGUGAAGUAGAGCAAGCGAAUUCCUGUGUAGCGGUGAAAUGCGUAGAUAUCAGGAGAACACCGGUGCGAAGGCGGCUUGCUGGGCUUUUACUGACGCUGAGGCUCGAAAGCGUGGGUAGCAAACAGGAUUAGAUACCCUGGUAGUCCACGCUGUAAACGAUGAUUACUAGGUGUGGGGGGACUGACCCCUUCCGUGCCGCAGUUAACACAAUAAGUAAUCCACCUGGGGAGUACGGCCGCAAGGUUGAAACUCAAAGGAAUUGACGGGGGCCCGCACAAGCAGUGGAGUAUGUGGUUUAAUUCGAAGCAACGCGAAGAACCUUACCAGAUCUUGACAUCCAACUGACCUAUAGGGUAAAGCCUAUAUCUCUUCGGAGCAGUUGAGACAGGUGGUGCAUGGUUGUCGUCAGCUCGUGUCGUGAGAUGUUGGGUUAAGUCCCGCAACGAGCGCAACCCUUGCCUUUAGUAGCCAGCACGUUAAGGUGGGCACUCUAGAGGGACUGCCAGGGAUAACCUGGAGGAAGGUGGGGAUGACGUCAAAUCAUCAUGCCCCUUAUGAUCUGGGCUACACACGUGCUACAAUGGCGUAAACAAAGGGAAGCAGAGUCGUGAGGCCGAGCAAAUCCCAAAAAUAACGUCUCAGUUCGGAUUGUAGUCUGCAACUCGACUACAUGAAGCUGGAAUCGCUAGUAAUCGCGAAUCAGAAUGUCGCGGUGAAUACGUUCCCGGGUCUUGUACACACCGCCCGUCACACCAUGGGAGUCGCGAAUGCCCAAAGCUGGUGACUUAACCGCAAGGAGAGAGCCAUCUAAGGCAGGCGUGGUAACUGGGGUGAAGUCGUAACAAGGUAAAUCACUGGCCGUCGUACCUCUAU